Non-coding RNA from Podarcis lilfordi (Lilford's wall lizard), 85 nucleotides. Lineage: Eukaryota; Metazoa; Chordata; Lepidosauria; Squamata; Lacertidae. The record is from the annotation of a GenBank genome assembly.
UGCUGGACACUUCCUGUAGAUUAAUAACCAUCUGGGCUUUCAGUACAGCCCAGCUGGCUAUUAAUCUGCAGAAUAAUAUCAUGGA